RNAcentral lists this unclassified non-coding RNA (210 nucleotides) under Hevea brasiliensis (rubber tree). Lineage: Eukaryota; Viridiplantae; Streptophyta; Magnoliopsida; Malpighiales; Euphorbiaceae. The record is from RNAcentral.
CGGCGUCACUGUACCGCUUCCGUCCGCCUCGAACCACCGUGGCCAUCGCCUCUUUCUUAUCGGCGCCAUUUCCGAUGCCAUCUUCCGGUGCGGUGGUUGAUCUAUCUAUCAAGAGUUCAUCAUCGAUACCUAAUCCAGAGGUUGAAGUGGAUGAGGACGUGGAAUACGAAGAAAUUGAGGUUGAAGUUGAAGAAGAAAUUGAGGUUGAAG